Oncorhynchus mykiss (rainbow trout) is the source of this 2693-nucleotide long non-coding RNA. The record is from Ensembl. NCBI's taxonomy places the organism in Eukaryota, Metazoa, Chordata, Actinopteri, Salmoniformes, Salmonidae.
CAGACAGUUUGCCCUGCUGUCCUUUUCUUUUUUGGUGCUGAUAUAUUUCACUUCCCCAGGUUUCCUGAGCAGACCAACGUGAGUGAGGGAAGAGUAACCACACAUGAGGAGGAGAGGGAUACGCGAUGGGACCUGUCCAAAACUAGAAACAUUGACACCAGAGUGGACUCAAACAGGGAAAUUGAGAUUCCCAAACUGUUCCUGGAUGAGAAGGUGGAGGACGUGAAGGGAGACCAAGAGAAUGAGACUAAGGAGGGUAAGGGCUCUCCCAAAGAUCCCCUGUCAGCUCCAGUCACCCUCACUCUCAUCACAGAGGGGAGGCAGAGCCAGGGGCGAGGCAGCUACAACCCCAGCAGACGGGAGAUCAACAGGACCUCACCAGCACAGUGGCCAGACAGUACUGAUCAGAACACAGGCACAGCAAGCCGCACUACAAAGGACCACCCCAGUGUUGGAGUGGAGGAGGUACAGUACAGACUAUCAGGUGCCCAGCUGAUAAGCUUUCUUCUCUGUUUUGGUAGGAUGGAGUUUUGGCCUUCCAUGGUGACAUCACCAGGUGGUACAUUAAUUAAUAGACCAAUACGAAAGAGUUCCGAACCUCUCUGCCAAUAACAGCUAGUUUUCAGUUUACCCCUUCCCUCCCCACCCAGACCAGACAGUCCUAGCAGAAUUCUUGUUUGAGAAAUUGAUCUUUGCUAAGAAGCUAUUUUCAUUUAUUUUUCACCAUUUUGAUUGAAAUCAGUCACAGUAAGGUACUUAAUUGUUACUCAGAAAUGAUUUAAUAUUGAGAUAAAAUGGCUGCAUUGGAACAACAGAGAACAUUGUUGAAUUGAAUUACAGUAUUGAAUCAAAGUUUCUCACCUCUUAUCAACUAUUCCUUUGUGCAUCGCCUACCCUCUCACUAUUGUUCUAUCCAUAUGUCCUUGCCUUUCUCUAUCGGUCUAUCAUUGUUCUGACCUACUGUAUACCUCCUUAUAUGUCUCUCCUCCUCUCUCCUUGAUGCAGGUUUUUGAUAUCCUACCUAUAUAUGGGGUGCUGCAGCCAGGUGAAAGCCAGCUGGUGUCCUUCUCCUUUUACGGUCAUGCUGACAUCAGUGGUCAGGUUCUGGCUCUGUGUGAGGUCGAGGAGGGCCCCACAUAUGAAAUCACACUCAAAGGAGAGGCUUCACUAGUCACCUACAGCCUGAACAGAACAGAGAUAGACUUUGGCCUUCAGGUAUUUGUACUAUGGUCACCCUGAGGCUGUGUUAGUUGAGUCCAGUUCACUUGUGAAGGAUAGAGAUAUCUGUGUUGGCUUUCUUUGCUUGUGUUUUUCAUUCGUCCCUGUUUGGGUAUGCAAUGAAUGCAUUCAAGGCAAUUGUCAUUGAUAUUCAAACAAGGACUUAUUGAUUUUUUUAUUUUUAAAGGAGUGAAUCAGCAGAAUCUUAUCCUUGCGGGUUCAGCAUACAUUGUUUGGAUCCAUUCCCGCUCUUCUUCUUCUUCCCUUCUUUCUCCUGCAGUUAUUUGACCAUGUGGCCGAGGCAGAGAUCACCCUGAGGAACACAGGGAAGGUGGGCUUUCAGUUCAGUGCUCUGUUGGGGGAGAAGGAUGUGUGUGAGGACCCUCGGCCUGGACAUCCCCUGGUCAUCCCCAGAAUGGUGAGACAGCCCACAGCACAGGGGAUCCCUCCCUUUUACAGUCUGCUUUCUCUACCAAUCCUUUAGUGUAACUACAUACACCCUUUAUGUAGUUACUUUCAAUGGAUUUUGGCAGAGCCAGAUGAACUUGUGGAUACCAUUUUUAUGUAUUUUAUGUAACUCUUUGUUUGUCUCUCAUUACUCAAAGGGUUACAUCGAGGCGAAUGCAGAGCAGAAGCUUUCAGUGUACUAUCUCCCUGGGGUCCCUGAGGUCUUCCACAAGACUUUCCAGCUGCAGGUGGCUUUCUUUGAGCCAGAGAGCCUCACUCUCAGAGGAGAGGGCAUCUUCCCCAGGGUGUGCCUGGACCUACCCAGAGAGCUCAGUAUGUGACUUUGGUCAUUGUGGAGGUCUAUCGCGAUACUCUAAAACUGUUUUGUUGCAGUGUGUAACUCGCUAUUCUUGUAUUGUGUAGAUGAUGAGAGGUAUACUGCAGUGGUGAAGGAGGCCAAGGAGGCUCUGGAGGAGGACAGGAGGGAUGUGGCCAUCAGCCGGCCUGCUACUGGAAAUGGCAACCUGUCAGACAAGGACUACAUCCCUACAGUCAGUACCUACUGUAUCACAAUCACUCAGCACUUUCACCUUGAUUCAUGUACAGUGCAUUUGGAAAGUAUUCAGACCCUUGACUUUUUCCACAUUUUGUUACAUUACAGCCUUAUUCUAAAAUGUAUUGAAAUGUAGAUCUCAACAUUAUCAUUGUCUUCAUAAGACGAAACAAAGCUAAUGUGUUCAGUUUGUAUGGCAGACAUGAUACCUGUGCUGUGUGGACAGAUGUGUGUGAAAAUUGAUUUCUGUCUCUCUGUGUGCAGUAUGAUGCCCUGCUGCAGAUGGAGGUAGAGAGGCUCUUGGUGAAACAGAAUGCCAUGGCUGUUGAGAACAGACAAGUGGAUAAUAGAGACACACCUGCGUCUACUAGCAAGUGGCGCAAGAAGCUUAGCAGGUAGGCUCACAUGCAAAUGCACCAUCUCUCCUCCAUGGCUAUGCAUACUGUAUAUGUGAAUCAUUACUGAAAGUGGGAUC